AUUGAACGCUGGCGGCAUGCCUUACACAUGCAAGUCGAACGGCAGCGGGGGAGAAGCUUGCUUUUCCUGCCGGCGAGUGGCGAACGGGUGAGUAAUACAUCGGAACGUGCCCUGUAGUGGGGGAUAACUAGUCGAAAGAUUAGCUAAUACCGCAUACGACCUGAGGGUGAAAGUGGGGGACCGCAAGGCCUCAUGCUAUAGGAGCGGCCGAUGUCUGAUUAGCAAGUUGGUGGGGUAAAGGCCUACCAAGGCGACGAUCAGUAGCUGGUCUGAGAGGACAAUCAGCCACAGUGGGGCUGAGACACGGCCCAGACUCCUACGGGAGGCAGCAGUGGGGAAUUUUGGACAAUGGGCGAAAGCCUGACCCAGCAAGGCCGCGUGUGUGAAGAAGGCCUUCGGGUUGUAAAGCACUUUUGUCCGGAAAGAAAUGGCUCUGGUUAAUACCUGGGGUCGAUGACGGUACCGGAAGAAUAAGGACCGGCUAACUACGUGCCAGCCGCCGCCGUAA
This 508-nucleotide ribosomal RNA is filed under the name uncultured bacterium. RNAcentral describes it as "partial 16S ribosomal RNA". It matches the Rfam family "Bacterial small subunit ribosomal RNA", at positions 30 to 523 of the family's 1533-position model. The record is from RNAcentral.